CUAACACCAUAAUCUAACCCAGUCUAACCCUAACUCCAUAGUCUAACCCAGUCUGACCCUAACACCACAGUCUAACCCAGUCUAACCCUAACACCACAGUCUAACCCAGUCUAACCCUAACUCCAUAGUCUAACCCAGUCUAACCCUAACACCACAAUCUAACCCAGUCUAACCAUAACUCCACAGUCUAACCCAGUCUAACCCUAACACCACAGUCUAACCCUGUCUAACCCUAACACCACAGUCUAACCCAGUCUAACCCUAACUCCACAGUCUAACCCAGUCUAACCCUAACUCCACAGUCUAACCCUAACUCCACAGUCUAACCCAGUCUAACCCUAACUCCAUAGUCUAACCCAGUCUAACCCUAACUCCACAGUCUAACCCAAACUCCACAGUCUAACCCAGUCUAACCCUACCACCACAGUCUAACCCAGUCUAACCCUGAC
Molecule: long non-coding RNA, 449 nt
Organism: Oncorhynchus tshawytscha (Chinook salmon)
Lineage: Eukaryota; Metazoa; Chordata; Actinopteri; Salmoniformes; Salmonidae
Source: Ensembl